This 528-nucleotide ribosomal RNA is filed under the name uncultured bacterium. RNAcentral's name for it is "partial 16S ribosomal RNA". It matches the Rfam family "Bacterial small subunit ribosomal RNA", at positions 355 to 871 of the family's 1533-position model. The record is from RNAcentral.
UGGGGAAUAUUGCACAAUGGGCGCAAGCCUGAUGCAGCCAUGCCGCGUGUGUGAAGAAGGCCUUCGGGUUGUAAAGCACUUUCAGCGAGGAGGAAGGUGGUGAACUUAAUACGUUCAUCAAUUGACGUUACUCGCAGAAGAAGCACCGGCUAACUCCGUGCCAGCAGCCGCGGUAAUACGGAGGGUGCAAGCGUUAAUCGGAAUUACUGGGCGUAAAGCGCACGCAGGCGGUUUGUUAAGUCAGAUGUGAAAUCCCCGGGCUCAACCUGGGAACUGCAUUUGAAACUGGCAAGCUAGAGUCUCGUAGAGGGGGGUAGAAUUCCAGGUGUAGCGGUGAAAUGCGUAGAGAUCUGGAGGAAUACCGGUGGCGAAGGCGGCCCACUGGACGAAGACUGACGCUCAGGUGCGAAAGCGUGGGGGAGCAAACAGGAUUAGAUACCCUGGUAGUCCACGCUGUAAACGAUGUCGAUUUUGGAGGUUGUGCCCCUUGAGGCGUGGCUUCCGGAGCUAACGCGUUAAAGUCGACCG